Molecule: ribosomal RNA, 464 nt
Filed under: uncultured bacterium
Lineage: Bacteria
Description: partial 16S ribosomal RNA
Rfam family: Bacterial small subunit ribosomal RNA
Source: RNAcentral
ACGAACGCUGGCGGCGUGCUUAACACCUGCAAGUCGAACGGAAAGGCCCCUUUGGGGGUACUCGAGUGGCGAACGGGUGAGUAACACGUGAGUAACCUGCCCUUGACUUCGGGAUAACUUCAGGAAACUGGGGCUAAUACCGGAUAGGAAUCCUUGCUGCAUGGUGGGGGUUGGAAAGCUUCGGCGGUUUUGGAUGGACUCACGGCUUAUCAGCUUGUUGGUGGGGUAGUGGCUUACCAAGGCUUUGACGGGUAGCCGGCCUGAGAGGGCGACCGGCCACAUUGGGACUGAGAUACGGCCCAGACUCCUACGGGAGGCAGCAGUGGGGAAUAUUGCACAAUGGGCGGAAGCCUGAUGCAGCAACGCCGCGUGCGGGAUGACGGCCUUCGGGUUGUAAACCGCUUUCAGCAGGGGCGAAGCUUGUGGUGACGGUACCUGCAGAAGAAGCACCGGCUAACUACGUG